CGGCGAGUGAGCGGCAAAGCUCAAUUUGAAUCUGGCACCUUCGGUGUCCGAGUUGUAAUUUGAAGAAGGUAACUUUGGAGUUGGCUCUUGUCUAUGUUCCUUGGAACAGGACGUCACAGAGGGUGAGAAUCCCGUGCGAUGAGAUGCCCAAUUCUAUGUAAAGUGCUUUCGAAGAGUCGAGUUGUUUGGGAAUGCAGCUCUAAGUGGGGUGGUAAAUUCCAUCUAAAGCUAAAUAUUGGCGAGAGACCGAUAGCGAACAAGUACAGUGAUGGAAAGAUGAAAAGAACUUUGAAAAGAGAGUGAAAAAGUACGUGAAAUUGUUGAAAGGGAAGGGCUUGAGAUCAGACUUGGUAUUUUGCGAUCCUUUCCUUCUUGGUUGGGUUCCUCGCAGCUUACUGGGCCAGCAUCGGUUUGGAUGGUAGGAUAAUGACUAAGGAAUGUGGCUCUACUUCGGUGGAGUGUUAUAGCCUUGGUUGAUACUGCCUGUCUAGACCGAGGACUGCGUCUUUUGACUAGGAUGUUGGCAUAAUGAUCUUAAGCCACCCGUCUUGAACCCACGGA
Molecule: ribosomal RNA, 561 nt
Filed under: Debaryomyces hansenii
Lineage: Eukaryota; Fungi; Ascomycota; Pichiomycetes; Serinales; Debaryomycetaceae
Description: eukaryotic LSU rRNA
Rfam family: Eukaryotic large subunit ribosomal RNA
Source: RNAcentral